CCCCCGCCUCCCCCCCGGGGUGCUCGGUGGUAGGGGCGGGGGGCGCGGUGCGGAGGAGAGGGCACGGCAGGAAGAGGAGGGUAGGGAGGAAGGAAAGAGAGCAAUUGAUUAUUUCCCUGGAGACGUUUUGGAAAGCCAGAAGAGACAAAUAAAGUCAUUCAUGUUUUUAUAAGUCAACAAUUGAGCAAAAGGUUCUUGUAGCAAACCUACCUGGCUUUUCUCAAAUAACAUAAGGUUCUCAUAGGACUACACAUGUGCAUCUGCACCAAAGACUGCUGGAUACUUGUCCCAUUACUCAUUGUCCCCAGUGCUGAAGGUUGCUAUGUUGCAGAGAUGUUCUUGCAGAGGGCUGUUCCACUGGCAUCUUCAGACCGCAGGCAUCCUGCCCUGCAGCCAUGUAAAUUUUCCAACAUACAAAUAUUCAUCGCUGUCUUUUACAUUCCUCUGCUGACAGUGAAGAGGUCAUGCUUAAUCAAACUGAUGGAGAAAACCGGACAUAAUCUUUACCUAGGAUACCCACGUUAAUUCUACCAAAACAAGAGGUGGGGGAACAGAGAAGAAUAAUUUGCUUUUGUAUAUUGCCGCUUUUAGGUAUUCCAUUCAUCAUGUUGGUAUCGUAUUCAGAGUGAGCCAAAGAAAUAAGUACCUGCUUAGGACAUGAGACCUCAGGGGCUUGUGGCUUUUUUCUGCUCCCAGCAGUUUUCCUUCCAGCCUAAUUAUUUCUUCUGAGAAUGGGUUUCUGAGUCCAGACUUUAUCAUAAUUUAAUUCUUUUCCCUGCUGCAGGAGAGGAAUCAAGCGGGAUAAAUUCUGUGUCCAUAUGCUCCUCCAGCUUUGAGUCUACUGAUUGAAGUGUUUUGUUUAUUAUAGAUGCUGUUUUGAUGAGGGAAGAAACCUGACCUAGUACAGUCAAAGGAGCUCCAUUAGUGGCAGAACCAGCAAAGCCUGGUUUUCCAUAGGUUAGUGUCUUAUAGUUUCAUGGUGAAUUACAAUUGUCUCUUUUUUCCCAUAGCAGUAUCUUUUGUUAGAUCUCUCUCCCAUGUGGAUUCUUUAAUGUUUCAUAAGGUUUAAAUUCAUGUUGCAGCCUUCCCCCCCCCAGUUCGGACAAUUUUAGAAUCUCUUUCUUCUCCUAGAUUUUUUUUUCUACAAAGAAUGCUGAGAUUUUGAGAGCUCUCUAUUGAUACUGUAUUUGAAAUUAAAGAAAACAUUAACUGGAAACCCAGUGUGUGACUACACAAACUUCAGCGUCCUAGCAAACCAAGGAAAAAUGGUAGUAUCUUGCUAGGUAUAUUGCCUGAUCUUGGUCUAUGUUUAAGUUCAUUCCUCCUGAGAGAAAUAAGUUUGGAUUACUAGUUAGUGCCAUUCAUCCACUAGAGCUACUGUCGUCAAUGGGAGAUGUUCUGGCUUUAUGAAGCAUCAAAGAAUGAUUAUGUGAACUCCUAUUAAAAUGACAAAUUUCCUUCCAGUUCCAUUUCCAUUAGAGUCAAUUGUAAGUCACUCAUUGCCUUCAAGAAGAGCUAGAUUUCCUUUCGCAACUGUAAUCAGUACUCAGAGGUUCGGGCAGUCUUAUUGUCACCAAAGUGUCUGUUAAUCACUGCUAUAUAAACCAGAGAAGAUUUGUUCCCAGUUCCAAUUUCAGUUCACAAAUAUCUGUGUAUGUGUGUGUGAAAUCAUAUAUUUGUAAACUUGCCUACAAGAAAGCUGGGGAGGGACUUCUUACAAGGGCAUGUGGGACAGGAUGAGAGGAAAUGGCUUCAAAUUAGAAGAGGGAAGAUUUAGAUUAGACAUUAGGAAGAAGUGCUUCACUGUGAGGAUGGUGAGGCACUAGCACAGGUUGCCCAGGGAAGUUGUGGGUGUCCCAUCCCUGAAGAUGUUCAAGGCCAGGUUGCAUGGGGCCCUGGGCAGCCUGGUCUGUUGGGAGUUGUCCCUGCGCAUGGCAGGAGGGUUGGAACUGGAUGAUCUUUAAGGUCCCUUCCAACCCAAACCAUUCCAUGAUUCCAAUGACCUCUGUGCAUUAUGAUGAUAUAAUACACAUGUAGUUCUAUGAUUCCAUCUGUAAUAGAUUCUCUUUUAAAAAUUAAAAGUGCGCUUCAGAUAAAUGGAAGGUUAAAUUCUAACAUUCUUAGUGUGUGCAUGAACUUCUGUUUACUUGGAAAGUACAAUAUUAGUAGAGUACUUCUCACUUUAAAGUUUAUGAAUUUCUUUCUUCUCCUCCUUAAUUCUUUGAGGUGUCAGUACUGAGAAAGAUGAAUCAUUUAUUAGUGGGAGGCCUGACACACGAUGAAAUCACUAUCUGACACUUCAAUGACUUCCAGUGUUGUUCUGUGAACAUUCAGCAAAGCACAGAUGAUGUGAUGUUGCAGUUCUGUGGGUAGUCUUUUCUUCUUUUUGAUUUGUGUUUUUGGGGAUUUUUUUUUCAAAUGGAUAAAACGCUUUAUCAUCAUAGUGUGUGAGAACUUCCCCAUUUGGUAUGAAUAGCCUUUGCCUAUUAUUAAGAGUGAUUCAAAAGCUCUGGUAUAGGAAAAAAAUAGAACACAUCUGCAACUCGCAGAGAAGAUAUUUGUUUCUCCUGAGAAUCAGUGAGAAAGCAGAACUCAACCUAAUUUUUUUUUUUUGGGGGGGGGGUGGAGUGGAAUAGAUAGCAUUCUUGGCUUGAAUGUUAAUACACUUUGGAGCAUUCCUUUUAUGACAGAACAUGCAAAUCUCCAUUAUGUUACAAAUUAAGUGCACCUAAGUGGCAGUUCUGUGCUGGCCUCUGGAUUACCCCCUGAACAGGGCAGUGAUCUCAGCUCAGGAGACAUUUAGGGUAGAAAGUGGUAUCUGACAAUAAAGCAAUUGGCAAUAAACAACUGGCUGACAACAAGCUGAACAGUUUUAUUUAUUUAACAACAACAAAAAAAGUAAUUUUAGUUCUAGCAUCUUCACUCCGGUAAGCAGUUCUGCAAGCAUAUAGGUUAGACUUUUUGCUUUACUGAACUUAGCCCUGACUGCAUUUUUCUCUCUUCCCAGUAUAAAUGUUUUCAAUUUGCUUUCAGCCCCUCCAGCAAACAUCACAGUAGUUUCAAGCUACUAAGAUAUUUUCUUGCCUUACACACUUUAUAAUCUGAGCAAUGUUACUCCCGCUCCUUUCCCAGGCCACAUCACUCAUCCAUUCAGAUGUGCUGCAGUAAGUGAAAUGUCGCAGGCUGGGAACCUAUAGGUACAGACUUGCCUCCAAGUACCAAGUCUGGCAUUUAAAAGGUGGCUUCAGGGUUUUCUUCUAACUUAACUGGUUUCUCCCUUUGUUCUCUCAGAAACUCAAGUGCUUUUCCCAGUGAAUCCAGUCUUUCUUCUCUCAUUCCUUGAACUUGUGAUUUUUUUCUCUCCUAAUUGCUUUAUGUGGUCCUCAUCACUGCCGUCUGAGCCUCUCCCAUUUCUACUGUGUCUGUCAUCAUGAUACUUUGCAGCAUAUACUUACUCUUCAGAGAUAUGUGUGGGUCCAGCGGAACUAAGUACUUGUGAAACUAAGGUGAUCAGGGAAGACUGUGGAAGAGUUAGCAAGUAGACUCACCUUCCAAAUAAAGACAUGAGGCAUAUCUUGUGCGAUAUUCUCCCUCUCUAGUGGCUAAUCUGGGUAUCCUUGUUUUUGCCCUCUGGAGUUUUGGCUCUAAACUGUUCCACAGCUACCACUGGAAAGAAGCAGCUGACCUUUGAAGGCAGUGAAACUGUCUUAAUUACAUGUUUGCCAUUGGAUAUGGUGUUCCUCCCCAUCUCUGAACGUGCCAGUCUGCACGCAUCAGAUGUGAUGAUGUGUGCAAACAAGUCAGCAAGUACCAAACGACUUUGCUUACUGUGUUACUACUCCAGAUCUGAUGAAAGCCUCGUAAACUUCAGAAAGGGGGAGAAAUUAUUUCAACUGGCAGUCCAGAUAGACUUUGAUGUGGCCCUUCUACCAUCUUUCCUUGGCAUCUCUUUGUAUUAAAAUUAUCUGUCACACGGGGUUUGUAUCACAGUAGUUCAUCACAACUUGCCAGAGUGCCCUGGCUGUUGUGGGAUGCCUGGGAGCUUGGCUUUGCCCCUGAAAGGGAGCUUCCCCAACUCAACAAUGAGGGGACCGCUCAUCAAUGCUUGUUCUGCCACACAAAUGCAGAAACUCCCAGUAGGUUUCAUAGAUGACACAAGGCCAUUUCCUUAAAACUCUCCUCAGGUGUAUCUGAGGAAAUGGUGGCCCAUUGUGAAAGGAGGCUGUCCUACCCUUCUGAUCUGACAAAGAAGCUCUCUUUCUGACCAGUCCCAAUCUUGAGCCAGGCAGAAAGAGCUAGAUCAGCAUAAGCAGUUUAAAUAACAGGCAUUGGCUAGGCCAGCCUAGAGAGUGGUUCCAAGAUGGUUUAAGCUGAUCCAAACCAGAGCUUCUGCAGCCUGGCUUUGUAUCAUGUAUAUCCCCACCCCAGCUCUUGCACCAGCAUCUGUGCUUGUUUAACUCCACAGGCAUCUGAAUUGGCAGGAGGCUGUACGAUUUUUCUUGUUAGUUCUGAUUUUUUUUUGUUAUUUCGAUGUCUUAUGAAACAGUUCAGCGUGGGACCAGACAGGUUUCUUUGCUGGCACAGGAAAGGACAGCAGCUGGGGAUGGACAGCAGCCGCAGUUUAGAUCAGAUUAGACUGUCACAGAACCACAGUCUCAUUCGAGAAUGCACAUGAGCAUCUUUGGGAGAUUUGAGGGGACAAUACCCCCAGGCAGGAGGAGGGGCAUUGCGAUAGUAAUCUCUCCCAGUAGCACAGCUCAUCCAGAGAGAGUAUUUGUCUACAGUCUAAAAUAAAUUAAAGAACUCUCUGAACACAUUUAGAAGACUUAAAGUUUGCUGACACUGUUCUGUAAAAUGAGUUAAUUUAACAUAGGCUUAAGAGACGAGUUUUUUGUUUCCAUCCCUCCCCCUCACAGCUCACCCCAUCCUCUUUUUGCAAGCCAUAAGAUAUCCUUCUGCCCUGGCCCUGUUAGGUCAUGGUAUGAUGGGCACCAUGCCAAAUGAAGCUGAGCUUAUAAGCUGCUACUGCCCUGGUUGCUACUGGGGCUGUGUGCGUGGUUUUUAAUUCACUUCUGUGGUGCCCUCAUUUUUUCCUGCCCAAGUUUGAAGUGGGAGUGUGUUUAGCUGUGAACUACAUUGCUGCAAAUUCAUGGUCUAUUAGCACCCUUCCAAAGCUCCCCUCUCUGUUCUCUGAAGAAUUAGAACACAGCUAUAAAAAUAUCACUCAAGGCUAUCGCACUGUGUCAUUAUUUUGGGCUUUGUUUUUAAAAUUAUUGCUAAGAUAGGUUUGUCUGUGUGCUUGCUUGCUUUCCCCAUACCGUAUUUACAUUUGAAAACUACAGCAUCUGUAAUAAGAUACUGAUGAACCUAAGGCAGAUGUGACAACGUAAUGUGGAUAGUGCAUAUACAAUUUGUCAAGGCAGACAAAAUAACCCCACCUUGGGCAAUUUUCAAAAGAACUAUACUACAGUACUUGUCGGGUCUGGGUAACUACUCCAUAAACAUAUUACCUGCUGGCAUACAAAUAUCACUUUGUAUAAGGUAGUUACACAGUAAAAGAAAAGGGAGAGGCAGGACAAAAACACUGAUCUUGCAGAGUCCUACAAAAAGCCACGAUCUCAUAUAGAAAAAUGCUAAAAUAAAAUAAUUCUUAUUCAGAGGUAACUACAUUUAUAAGUAAACUAUCCACUCCUCUUGAUUUGUAUUUCUUUUCUAAUUAAAUAUGUGCUGUUAUUGAUAUAGUUUGGGAAUAUGCACACAAAAUUAGGCAAAUACUUCAGAAUUACUGCUGCUGUUUGGAUGCACAUUUUAACAGGAAUAUCUUGCCAUGUGAAAUGACUAAGAACUUCAGAAUCACGAUUUAAAUCCUGAAUUACCACACACUAUUGUAGUAGGUAGAAUUUUUAUAUUAUCUAUUUCUACUAAAUAUUUUUUGUCAGGAUACGUCCACAGAUCUCUUAAUUUAUCUGUCGUUGAAACAAUGAAAGAAUGAUAGAGGGCAGGUGAAUUGUGCUAAGACUCCACAAUGCUUACCCACGUAUAUUUUUUUCUAAAAUGUGAAAGAGAAAAUGAUAGAUUUCAUGAUAUACUUUUCCAAAAACAGACAGUUUUCAACACAACUUCCCAUGCGUUUAUAAUACCAGUUUGUGUACAGAGCUAUGAAAAUGACAUCUUAGAAAUCAAAGGGAGCAGACAGAAUUGCAAUUGGUAAACUCAGAACCACAUUGUUUACCUCUGUGAUCUUAAGUGGCUUUCCUUUACUAUUUCACUGGUAGUUCCCAGGAGCAUGGGUGUGCUUGAUCAUGAGUCCACCAUCUCCAUCUUCUAUACUGGUAGCAGUCUGAUUUUUGACUACAGAAAGCAGAAUCAUUUACUGAAGUGUGGGGAAUAAUGUAGGAACCCUUAUGUUAGUUCUGGGAAUAUGUUGAUUUGACUUGAUAGUGGCCCUCUGGAAGAGGAGCCAGUCAGCCAGCCAGCCAAACCUCCCCCCAGAAAAGGCAUAGGAAAGGAAUACUUGAGAUAAGGUAUUCAUUUGUCACCUGAGAGUUGUUAAAACAAUGGCAGCACACCGGGCUAUGAGCACCUUGCCUUUGUCUCUUGCUGAGCCUUUGAGACUGCCUGAGUUAAAAGGAUAAAAGCCCAGGAAGUCGCAAAAAAAAAAAAAAAAUUAAAAUAAAAAAUUGAAUUUGGCAAAACAGGAAUCACUCCCUUUCACAACCCGAAGGAACAAGGUUCAAGAAUAUGCUCCAGGUAUAUGAGGAAGUUCAGCAAUACUAGUUAGCCAUCAAAGGAUUUCACAGAGAGAGGGCUUUGUGUAGGCUGUAAUUUAAAAUGUUAUUUGUGUAAUUUCCAGUUGUUGUAGUCAAUGAGGCUUUUCUUUUAAGACGACUGUAUCAGUGCCUACUAUAUCUGAGUAAGAAAAAGGAAAAGCUUGGCUUCAGGAAAGGUUUUCAUUUUGAGUUGGGGAAAAACACAUUCUGAAGCUGGAAUAUCUUUGUCUGUUUGUAUAUUCUGUAACGCUACUCUGCUAAAUAUGGAACCCUUUCCACACCUGGCAUGCCUGGCAUUUUCAAAAAUGAAACGCAGCUUCCUGUUGUGCACCGGGCAAGAUGAUGUGGAGCCAGAAGAGCCAGGAAGCCUGGCAUCUUUAGUCUCUGGCUAGAGUGUUUUGAUGGGAAAUCAUUCUGUUGGAAAAUUUCUGCUAGUGCUUCUGGCUGCACAAUCCCAGAAACAGGACUGUAGGCUGACCAGUGAAUUCUGCUUUGCAAGAAUGGCUAUUGCACCGGAACUCACUGUGUAUUAUUCUUUGGUGGGUAAAAGAUGAGAAUUAGAAGGAAAGCAGACAUCAUUCAGCAAUUCUAACCAAAGUAUUUUUCUUUUAAUAAAUA
Molecule: long non-coding RNA, 7388 nt
Organism: Cuculus canorus (common cuckoo)
Lineage: Eukaryota; Metazoa; Chordata; Aves; Cuculiformes; Cuculidae
Exons: 6
Source: RefSeq, a predicted model, not a curated record